Molecule: non-coding RNA, 87 nt
Organism: Oreochromis niloticus (Nile tilapia)
Lineage: Eukaryota; Metazoa; Chordata; Actinopteri; Cichliformes; Cichlidae
Source: Rfam
UCUGGCUGAGGUAGUAGUUUGUGCUGUUGGUCGGGUUGUCAUAUUACCCCUUGUGGAGAUGACUGCGCAAUCUACUGCCUUGCCGGC